GACGAACGCUCCCGUUGUGGUUAACACAUGCAAGUCGAACGGAAAGGCCCUGCUUUUGUGGGGUGCUCGAGUGGCGAACGGGUGAGUAACACGUGAGUAACCUGCCCUUGACUUUGGGAUAACUUCAGGAAACUGGGGCUAAUACCGGAUAGGAGCUCCUGCUGCAUGGUGGGGGUUGGAAAGUUUCGGCGGUUGGGGAUGGACUCGCGGCUUAUCAGCUUGUUGGUGGGGUAGUGGCUUACCAAGGCUUUGACGGGUAGCCGGCCUGAGAGGGUGACCGGCCACAUUGGGACUGAGAUACGGCCCAGACUCCUACGGGAGGCAGCAGUGGGGAAUAUUGCACAAUGGGCGGAAGCCUGAUGCAGCAACGCCGCGUGCGGGAUGACGGCCUUCGGGUUGUAAACCGCUUUCGCCUGUGACGAAGCGUGAGUGACGGUAAUGGGUAAAGAAGCACCGGCUAACUACGUGCCAGCAGCCGCGGUGAUACGUAGGGUGCGAGCGUUGUCCGGAUUUAUUGGGCGUAAAGGGCUCGUAGGUGGUUGAUCGCGUCGGAAGUGUAAUCUUGGGGCUUAACCCUGAGCGUGCUUUCGAUACGGGUUGACUUGAGGAAGGUAGGGGAGAAUGGAAUUCCUGGUGGAGCGGUGGAAUGCGCAGAUAUCAGGAGGAACACCAGUGGCGAAGGCGGUUCUCUGGGCCUUUCCUGACGCUGAGGAGCGAAAGCGUGGGGAGCGAACAGGCUUAGAUACCCUGGUAGUCCACGCUGUAAACGGUGGGUACUAGGUGUGGGGUCCAUUCCACGGGUUCCGUGCCGUAGCUAACGCUUUAAGUACCCCGCCUGGGGAGUACGGCCGCAAGGCUAAAACUCAAAGGAAUUGACGGGGCCCCGCACAAGCGGCGGAGCAUGCGGAUUAAUUCGAUGCAACGCGUAGAACCUUACCUGGGUUUGACAUGGAUCGGGAGUGCUCAGAGAUGGGUGUGCCUCUUUUGGGGUCGGUUCACAGGUGGUGCAUGGCUGUCGUCAGCUCGUGUCGUGAGAUGUUGGGUUAAGUCCCGCAACGAGCGCAACCCUUGUUCACUGUUGCCAGCACGUUAUGGUGGGGACUCAGUGGAGACCGCCGGGGUCAACUCGGAGGAAGGUGGGGAUGACGUCAAGUCAUCAUGCCCCUUAUGUCCAGGGCUUCACGCAUGCUACAAUGGCUGGUACAGAGAGUGGCGAGCCUGUGAGGGUGAGCGAAUCUCGGAAAGCCGGUCUCAGUUCGGAUUGGGGUCUGCAACUCGACCUCAUGAAGUCGGAGUCGCUAGUAAUCGCAGAUCAGCAACGCUGCGGUGAAUACGUUCCCGAGGGU
Molecule: ribosomal RNA, 1346 nt
Filed under: uncultured bacterium
Lineage: Bacteria
Description: partial 16S ribosomal RNA
Rfam family: Bacterial small subunit ribosomal RNA
Source: RNAcentral